RNAcentral lists this transfer-messenger RNA (405 nucleotides) under Chloroherpetonaceae. Its description in RNAcentral is "GBChlB sp000724175 Standard tmRNA". It matches the Rfam family "transfer-messenger RNA". Rfam says of the family: Bacterial tmRNA, also known as 10Sa RNA or SsrA, is named for its dual tRNA and mRNA-like properties. Its role is to liberate the mRNA from a stalled ribosome. The record is from RNAcentral. Lineage: Bacteria; Pseudomonadati; Chlorobiota; Chlorobiia; Chlorobiales.
GGGGAUGAAGGGUUUCGACAGGGCAGCUUGAAGGAAUUGGUUGCACUCCGAGUUUCAGCAUGGGUGGACUCGUUAAAGAAGCCUAUGUAAAUGUAGAUGCGAACGACUACUCGUACGCAAUGGCUGCUUAAUUAGUAAAAACUAACUAACCAGCCAUCGCCCUAAGACAAUCGCGCUUACUCGAGUGUCUUACUGGCGUCAGCCCGCGCUUGAGCGCCUUACGGCAGCUCGCGCAGUAAGCCGUGCAUCGUCUCUUCUCGGCGGAGAUGCACGCCCACAGUCGAGAUAGCUUUUUGACCAACGUCGGCAUUGUCGUAAAAAGCGAACUCCAACUGCCGAAGAUGAGUGUGGUAGCCUGUUCUAACACUACUCUGGACGCGGGUUCGACUCCCGCCAUCUCCACAA